UCCAUUUGCAACCGCAGGCUAAUCACUUC
This 29-nucleotide small RNA is filed under the name Bombyx mori (domestic silkworm). RNAcentral describes it as "ovarian small RNA-27120". The record is from RNAcentral. Lineage: Eukaryota; Metazoa; Arthropoda; Insecta; Lepidoptera; Bombycidae.